GAUGAACGCUGGCGGCGUGCCUAAUACAUGCAAGUCGAGCGAACAGACGAGGAGCUUGCUCCUCUGACGUUAGCGGCGGACGGGUGAGUAACACGUGGAUAACCUACCUAUAAGACUGGGAUAACUUCGGGAAACCGGAGCUAAUACCGGAUAAUAUAUUGAACCGCAUGGUUCAAUAGUGAAAGACGGUUUUGCUGUCACUUAUAGAUGGAUCCGCGCCGCAUUAGCUAGUUGGUAAGGUAACGGCUUACCAAGGCAACGAUGCGUAGCCGACCUGAGAGGGUGAUCGGCCACACUGGAACUGAGACACGGUCCAGACUCCUACGGGAGGCAGCAGUAGGGAAUCUUCCGCAAUGGGCGAAGGCCUGACGGAGCAAAGCCGCGUGAGUGAUGAAGGUCUUCGGAUCGUAAAACUCUGUUAUUAGGGAAGAACAAAUGUGUAAGUAACUAUGCACGUCUUGACGGUACCUAAUCAGAAAGCCACGGCUAACUACGUG
Molecule: ribosomal RNA, 497 nt
Filed under: uncultured bacterium
Lineage: Bacteria
Description: partial 16S ribosomal RNA
Rfam family: Bacterial small subunit ribosomal RNA
Source: RNAcentral